CCAGGUUCAACACCCAACCUUCCUUGGAGGUCAGCCAGCAUAGCAAGUAUGUGAGUUAUGCGGAAAGUAUGCGGUGAAGAGGAAAGCUGUGGGCAUUUGGGGAUGCAAAGAUUGUGGUAAAGUGAAAGCUGGAGGCGCUUACACUAUGAACACUGUGCUGCAAGUGCUGUUACUGUCAGGAGUACCAUUCAGAGACUUAGGGAGCAGACCGAGAUUUAAAUUUGUUUCUAUU
Molecule: long non-coding RNA, 232 nt
Organism: Hibiscus syriacus
Lineage: Eukaryota; Viridiplantae; Streptophyta; Magnoliopsida; Malvales; Malvaceae
Exons: 3
Source: RefSeq, a predicted model, not a curated record